UCCUGCAUUUGAAAGUGAUUGUGGGCUGCCUGCAGUCAUUGGUAAAGCAGGGAGAGGAAUGGCUGAAAGAAAUUUUUCCCGUGUUUGGAGGGUCCACCCUGUCCCUUCCAAACCCUGUACAUUUCCCACA
This 130-nucleotide small nucleolar RNA is filed under the name Castor canadensis (American beaver). RNAcentral's name for it is "Small nucleolar RNA SNORA71 (ENSCCNG00000022641.1)". It matches the Rfam family "Small nucleolar RNA SNORA71". Rfam says of the family: The members of this family belong to the H/ACA class of snoRNAs which bind a number of proteins (including dyskerin, Gar1p and Nop10p) to form snoRNP complexes. This class of snoRNAs are thought to guide the sites of modification of uridines to pseudouridines by forming direct base pairing interactions with substrate RNAs. This family includes U71 (SNORA71), ACA39 (SNORA39) and ACA60 (SNORA60). The record is from Rfam by way of RNAcentral. Lineage: Eukaryota; Metazoa; Chordata; Mammalia; Rodentia; Castoridae.